UUUCCGUAGGUGAACCUGCGGAAGGAUCAUUCAUAAUAAAGUGUUUUAUGGCACUUUUUAAAAAUCCAUAUCCACCUUGUGUGCAAUGUUAGGUCUCGUCAAUCUUGGCGAGAUUUUUAUACAUCAACUCAUUCUUUAACUAAUUUGUCUGAAAAAUAUUAUGAAUACUUAAUUCAAAAUACAACUUUCAACAACGGAUCUCUUGGCUCUC
This 211-nucleotide unclassified non-coding RNA is filed under the name plant metagenome. RNAcentral's name for it is "partial contains small subunit ribosomal RNA, internal transcribed spacer 1, and 5.8S ribosomal RNA". The record is from RNAcentral.